UCUCUGUGUAUUUAAAUUAGACAGAAGAUUCGAUAUUUUUAACGUUGCGAAUUGGCAACGGACGCAUUAGAAUAUCUAUGAGUAAGUGUUACAUAGAAAGUGAAUGAAGGAAAAAAAAAGAUAUGCCCUUUGCGAAAAU
Long non-coding RNA from Bradysia coprophila, 139 nucleotides. NCBI's taxonomy places the organism in Eukaryota, Metazoa, Arthropoda, Insecta, Diptera, Sciaridae. The record is from RefSeq and is a predicted model, not a curated record.